GCCGACUUAGCUCAGUGGUAGAGCACCCGUUUCACACGCGGGGGGUCAGAAGUUCGAAUCUUCUAGUCGGCACCA
RNAcentral lists this transfer RNA (75 nucleotides) under Pseudomonadota bacterium. RNAcentral describes it as "tRNA-Val". It matches the Rfam family "tRNA". Rfam says of the family: Transfer RNA (tRNA) molecules are approximately 80 nucleotides in length. Their secondary structure includes four short double-helical elements and three loops (D, anti-codon, and T loops). The record is from RNAcentral. RNAcentral also lists the same sequence under 2 other names. Lineage: Bacteria; Pseudomonadati; Pseudomonadota.